CCCUUAGAUGUCCUGGGCCGCACGCGUGCUACACUGACACUUACACCGAGUUUUUCCGGCCCCGAGAGGUGGCUGGUAAUCAGUAAUAGGUGUCGUGAUGGGGAUAGAUCUUUGGAAUUAUUGAUCUUGAACGAGGAAUGCCUAGUAAUCGUAGGUCAUCAGCCUGCGAUGAUUACGUCCCUGCCCUUUGUACACACCGCCCGUCGCUCCCACCGAUUUCGAGUGGUCCGGUGAACCUUUCGGACAGAGAGAGUCUCGUACAAUCUCUGAAAGUCAAGUAAACCACAUCACUUAGAGGAAGGAGAAGUCGUAACA
RNAcentral lists this ribosomal RNA (315 nucleotides) under uncultured eukaryote. RNAcentral's name for it is "partial 18S ribosomal RNA". It matches the Rfam family "Eukaryotic small subunit ribosomal RNA", at positions 1470 to 1796 of the family's 1831-position model. The record is from RNAcentral.